GCGCUCCCUUCAGCAGCACGUAUGCUGACAUCGGAAGGCUACAGAGAAGGUUAGCAUGGCCCCUGCGUAAGGAUGACACACGAAUUCAUGAAAUGUUCGUAUUUAAA
This is a small nuclear RNA of Ursus americanus (American black bear), 107 nucleotides long. The record is from Ensembl. NCBI's taxonomy places the organism in Eukaryota, Metazoa, Chordata, Mammalia, Carnivora, Ursidae.